Small nucleolar RNA from Phodopus roborovskii (desert hamster), 129 nucleotides. RefSeq annotates it as small nucleolar RNA SNORA51. The record is from RefSeq and is a predicted model, not a curated record. NCBI's taxonomy places the organism in Eukaryota, Metazoa, Chordata, Mammalia, Rodentia, Cricetidae. The transcript has a single exon.
UGCCUCAUGCUUAUCACAGGCUGUGUUCUUAGGCUGACUUUAUGCAGAAAAGAGGCAGAGUAAACCUACUACUGUUCACAUAAGCCCAGGCCAUUAUGCCUAGACUGUAUUGUGAGUGAUGAUACAUGG